GACGAACGCUGGCGGCGUGCCUAAUACAUGCAAGUAGAACGCACAGUUUAUACCGUAGCUUGCUACACCAUAGACUGUGAGUUGCGAACGGGUGAGUAACGCGUAGGUAACCUGCCUGGUAGCGGGGGAUAACUAUUGGAAACGAUAGCUAAUACCGCAUAAUAUUAAUUAUUGCAUGAUAAUUAAUUGAAAGGUGCAAUUGCACCACUACCAGAUGGACCUGCGUUGUAUUAGCUAGUAGGUGAGGAACGGCUCACCUAGGCGACGAUACAUAGCCGUCCUGAGAGGGUGAUCGGCCACACUGGGACUGAGACACGGCCCAGACUCCUACGGGAGGCAGCAGUAGGGAAUCUUCGGCAAUGGACGAAAGUCUGACCGAGCAACGCCGCGUGAGUGAAGAAGGUUUUCGGAUCGUAAAGCUCUGUUGUAAGAGAAGAACGGGUGUGAGAGUGGAAAGUUCACACUGUGACGGUAUCUUACCAGAAAGGGACGGCUAACUACGUG
Molecule: ribosomal RNA, 504 nt
Filed under: uncultured bacterium
Lineage: Bacteria
Description: partial 16S ribosomal RNA
Rfam family: Bacterial small subunit ribosomal RNA
Source: RNAcentral